UUAGCCUUUAAUACUGUAAAAC
This 22-nucleotide microRNA is filed under the name Bombyx mori (domestic silkworm). RNAcentral describes it as "bmo-miR-3419". Lineage: Eukaryota; Metazoa; Arthropoda; Insecta; Lepidoptera; Bombycidae. The record is from miRBase by way of RNAcentral.